RNAcentral lists this ribosomal RNA (253 nucleotides) under uncultured bacterium. RNAcentral describes it as "partial 16S ribosomal RNA". It matches the Rfam family "Bacterial small subunit ribosomal RNA", at positions 524 to 776 of the family's 1533-position model. The record is from RNAcentral.
UACGAAGGGGGCGAGCGUUAUUCGGAAUCACUGGGCGUAAAGCGUGCGUAGGCGGUUUUGAAAGUUGGAAGUGAAAGCCCAGGGCUCAACCCUGGAAUUGCUCUCAAAACUACAAGACUCGGAUUCGGGAGAGGAUAGCGGAAUUGUCAGUGUAGCAGUGAAAUGCGUAGAUAUUGACAGGAACACCAGUGGCGCAAGCGGCUAUCUGGACCGACAUCGACGCUGAGGCACGAAAGCGUGGGGAUCAAACAGG